RNAcentral lists this ribosomal RNA (1488 nucleotides) under uncultured bacterium. Its description in RNAcentral is "bacterial SSU rRNA". It matches the Rfam family "Bacterial small subunit ribosomal RNA". The record is from RNAcentral.
UCAGAACGAACGCUGGCAGGCAUGCCUAAACACAUGCAAUGUCGAACGAAGCCUUCGGGCUUAUGUGGCGCACGGGUGCGUAACGCGUGGGAAUCUGCCCUUGGGUUACGGAAUAACAGUUAGAAAUGACUGCUAAUACCGGAUAAUGACUUCGGUCCAAAGAUUUAUCGCCCAAGGAUGAGCCCGCGUAGGAUUAGCUUGUUGGUGAGGUAAAAGCUCACCAAGGCGACGAUCCUUAGNCUGGUCUGAGAGGAUGAUCAGCCACACUGGUGACUGAGACACGGCCCAGACUCCUACGCGGAGGCAGCAGUGGGGAAUAUUGGACAAUGGGGGAAACCCUGAUCCAGCAAUGCCGCGUGAGUGAUGAAGGCCUUAGGGUUGUAAAGCUCUUUUACCCGGAUGAUUAUGACAGAUACCGGGAGAAUAAGCUCCGGCUAACUCCGUGCCAGCAGCCGCGGUAAUACGGAGGGAGCUAGCUGUUGUUCGGAAUUACUGGGCGUUAANGUGCAAAGUAGCGUUUGUAUUAAGGUAAACCCGGGGCUCAACUCCCGGAACUGCCUUUAACGACUGCAUCGCUCGAAUCCCGGGAGAGGUGAGCUGGAAUUCCUAGUGUGAAGGUUGGAAAUUUGUAGAAUAUUUCGGAAGAACAACAAAGUUGGCGAAAGGCGGCUUCAUGGACCGGUUAUUGAACGUUGAGGUGCGAAAGCCGUGGGGGAGCAAACAGGAUUAGAUACCCUUGGUAGUCCACGCCCGUAAAACGAUGAGAACUAGCUGUCGGGGGCCUUAGGCUUUCGGUGGCGCAGCUAACGCAUUUAAGUUCUCCGCCUGGGGAGUACGGCCGCAAGGUUAAAACUCAAAGAAAUUGACGGGGGCCUGCACAAGCGGUGGAGCAUGUGGUUUAAUUCGAAGCAACGCGCAGAACCUUACCAGCGUUUGACAUCCCGGUCGCGGGUUCCAGAGAUGGAUCCCUUCAGUUCGACUGGACCGGAGACAGGUGCUGCAUGGCUGUCGUCAGCUCGUGUCGUGAGAUGUUGGGUUAAGUCCCGCAACGAGCGCAACCCUCGUCUUUAGUUGCCAUCAUUUAGUUGGGCACUCUAAAGAAACCGCCGGUGAUAAGCCGGAGGAAGGUGGGGAUGACGUCAAGUCCUCAUGGCCCUUACGCGCUGGGCUACACACGUGCUACAAUGGCGGUGACAGUGGGCUGCAAUCCCGCGAGGGUGAGCAAAUCUCCAAAAAGCCGUCUCAGUUCGGAUCGGACUCUGCAACUCGAGUCCGUGAAGGCGGAAUCGCUAGUAAUCGCGGAUCAGCAUGCCGCGGUGAAUACGUUCCCAGGCCUUGUACACACCGUCCGUCACACCAUGGGAGUUGGAUUGACCCGAAGGUGGUGAGCUAACCCGCAAGGGAGGCAGCCAACCACGGUCGGUUCAGCGACUGGGGUGAAGUCGUACAAGGUAGCCGUAGGGGAACCUGCGGCUGGAUCACCUCCUU